Non-coding RNA from Arachis ipaensis, 555 nucleotides. NCBI's taxonomy places the organism in Eukaryota, Viridiplantae, Streptophyta, Magnoliopsida, Fabales, Fabaceae. The record is from RefSeq and is a predicted model, not a curated record.
UGCUGCCGAACUGGUUCGGAGACAGCUGCUGUUUCGGAUCAACCGUUCUUUCUUCGGUUCAGUAAGCGUUUCGAUUUGAAAGCCCUUUUGUUACUGUUCUGUUAUCUCACGCUGAGGUUUGUGGCGUUAAUUGCUAUGAGAUUGAGUUUCAGUUGUUAUAUGUUGCGAUUAGAGUUGCUGUGGUUGUUGCGAAAGUGGCUGGGAGCUGAGGUUUUGGUUGCCGUCAGUUCGGGUUGAGGUGGAAAGGACUCCAUGAGGUGUUUGGGUUAUGGAAUUGCGUUUUGAGGAUAUGGGCGCAGAAGUUACGAAGAGUUUAUUUAGUUGUUGUUGAGAUGCUCUGUAUCGCUUUAGUAUAUUUUUGUCCCCUCGCCUUUGUCUUUAUACUUCUGUAAGAGGGAUAGAAAUUGUAUUGGUUAAUGCUUGUAAUAAUAUUUAUAUAUAUGUAUGUAUACAUAUGGAUGUACUCUUUAUGAGUUUCUGUAAGUUGUAUGGUAUCUAUGGAUGUACGUUAUCAAACGAAAGUAUUCUUGGGAGCGGUGUUGCGGUUUAAAGUUU